CCUACGGGUGGCAGCAGUGGGGAAUAUUGCACAAUGGGGGAAACCCUGAUGCAGCGACGCCGCGUGAAGGAAGAAGUAUUUCGGUAUGUAAACUUCUAUCAGCAGGGAAGAAAAUGACGGUACCUGACUAAGAAGCCCCGGCUAACUACGUGCCAGCAGCCGCGGUACUACGUAGGGGGCAAGCGUUAUCCGGAUUUACUGGGUGUAAAGGGAGCGUAGACGGCAUGGCAAGUCUGGUGUGAAAGGCAGGGGCGCAACCCCUGGACUGCAUUGGAAACUGUCAGGCUGGAGUGCAGGAGAGGUAAGUGGAAUUCCUAGUGUAGCGGUGAAAUGCGUAGAUAUUAGGAGGAACACCAGUGGCGAAGGCGACUUACUGGACUGUAACUGACGUUGAGGCUCGAAAGCGUGGGGAGCAAACAGGAUUAGAUACCCUGGUAGUC
This 440-nucleotide ribosomal RNA is filed under the name uncultured bacterium. RNAcentral describes it as "partial 16S ribosomal RNA". It matches the Rfam family "Bacterial small subunit ribosomal RNA", at positions 338 to 795 of the family's 1533-position model. The record is from RNAcentral.